AUACGGAGGGUGCAAGCGUUAAUCGGAAUUACUGGGCGUAAAGCGCGCGUAGGCGGCUUAUUAAGUCAGAUGUGAAAUCCCCGGGCUCAACCUGGGAACUGCAUCUGAUACUGGUAAGCUAGAGUUUUGGAGAGGGAAGUAGAAUUUCAGGUGUAGCGGUGAAAUGCAUAGAGAUCUGAAGGAAGACCAGUGGCGAAGGCGACUUCCAGGCCAAAAACUGACGCUGAGGUGCGAAAGCGUGGGUAGCAAACGGGAUUAGAAACCCCAGUAGUCC
This 274-nucleotide ribosomal RNA is filed under the name uncultured bacterium. Its description in RNAcentral is "partial 16S ribosomal RNA". It matches the Rfam family "Bacterial small subunit ribosomal RNA", at positions 523 to 796 of the family's 1533-position model. The record is from RNAcentral.